This 253-nucleotide ribosomal RNA is filed under the name Betaproteobacteria bacterium. RNAcentral describes it as "partial 16S ribosomal RNA". It matches the Rfam family "Bacterial small subunit ribosomal RNA", at positions 524 to 776 of the family's 1533-position model. The record is from RNAcentral. RNAcentral also lists the same sequence under 1 other name. Lineage: Bacteria; Pseudomonadati; Pseudomonadota; Betaproteobacteria.
UACGUAGGGUGCAAGCGUUAAUCGGAAUUACUGGGCGUAAAGAGUGCGUAGGCGGUUCUUGAAGUCCGCUGUGAAAGCCCCGGGCUUAACCUGGGAAUGGCAGUGGAAACUGGAGGACUUGAAUUGAGCAGAGGGGGGUGGAAUGCCGCGUGUAGCAGUGAAAUGCGUAGAGAUGCGGCGGAACACCGAUGGCGAAGGCAGCCCCCUGGGCUUAAAUUGACGCUGAGGCACGAAAGCGUGGGGAGCAAACAGG